GUAGUCAUAUGCUUGUCUCAAAGACUAAGCCAUGCAUGUCUAAGUAUAAACACCUUUAUACUGCGAAACUGCGAACGGCUCAUUAUAUCAGUUAUAAUCUACUUGAUCGUAUCCUCUUACUUGGAUAACCGUAGUAAUUCUAGAGCUAAUACAUGCAAAAGUUCCCGACUGGUGACGGAAGGGAAGUAUUUAUUAGGUCCAAAAUCAAUGCUGGCCAUUCCAAACUGGGGCAACCUGGGGUCAGGAAAGUUGAUGAUUCAUAAUAACUAAACGAAGCGCAGGGCUUGUCUCGGCGCUGAUACAAACGAGUUUCUGCCCUAUCAACUUUCGAUGGUAGUAUAGGGGACUACCAUGGUCGUAACGGGUAACGGGGAAUA
This 377-nucleotide ribosomal RNA is filed under the name uncultured fungus. RNAcentral's name for it is "bacterial SSU rRNA". It matches the Rfam family "Eukaryotic small subunit ribosomal RNA", at positions 20 to 371 of the family's 1831-position model. Lineage: Eukaryota; Fungi. The record is from RNAcentral.